RNAcentral lists this ribosomal RNA (497 nucleotides) under uncultured bacterium. RNAcentral's name for it is "partial 16S ribosomal RNA". It matches the Rfam family "Bacterial small subunit ribosomal RNA", at positions 28 to 507 of the family's 1533-position model. The record is from RNAcentral.
GACGAACGCUGGCGGCGUGCCUAACACAUGCAAGUCGAACGAACAGACGAGGAGCUUUGUCCUCUGACGUUUUCGGCGGACGGGUGAGUAAAACGUGUAUAACAUACCUCUAAGACAGGGGUAACAUCGGGGAACAGGAGCUAUUACCGGAUAAUAUAUCGAACCUCGUGGUUCAAGAGUGAAAAACGGUUGUUCUUUCACUUAUAGAUGGACCCGCGCCGGAUUAGCUAGUUGGUAAGGUAGUUGCUUACCAAGGCAACGAUGGGUACCCGACCCGAUAGGGUGAACGACCAGAUGGGAACUGAGAAAGGCCCCAGACACUUGCGGGGGGAAGCGGUCGGGAAUCUUCCGCAAUGGAGGAAAGCCUGACGGAGCAACACGGGGGAAGGGAUGACGGUCUCAGGAUGGGAAAACUCUGUAAUUAGGAAGAAAGAAAUGUUUAAGUAACGAUGAACGUAUUGACGGUACCUGAACAGAAAGCCACGGCUAACUACGUG